This is a long non-coding RNA of Gasterosteus aculeatus aculeatus (three-spined stickleback), 1848 nucleotides long. The record is from Ensembl. Lineage: Eukaryota; Metazoa; Chordata; Actinopteri; Perciformes; Gasterosteidae.
UGCAGUUGUUUUGUCUCCAUAGCAACAGGUGUCAUAUUUCGAAAGCCGGGAGGAUUUUUCUUUCUUUUUUUUUUACCGGAAAAGGCCGAAGCGCGAGCGAGCAGCCGCGAGUCGGUGCCCGCAAACAGGAGGCCACUUUUCUCAGAAAUUACGCAGCGGGUAUCGCGUCUCAUUAGGCGUCUUAACCGGAACAAACAGCGGGGCAUUUCGUGAUCGCUGCCCGGGCCCCGAGGCAGCGAUAAUAACUCCGCAGCGAUGCGCUAAAUGUAACCUCAUUCAGCGCAAAAAGGGACAUUAUAUUCACGCAGAUGAGCGGCACAGGAGUUUGAGAGCAGUUGUGUUUUCCGCCAGUAGGUGGAGCUGCAGCGUGCGCAGUGUGCAGCAAAGAACAUCUCAGCUCCGUGUGUCCAUCAGUGUGACGAGCUGCACGGCCUGUUUCAGAGACCUAGAACAUCACACAGAUCACGUUGUUCACAUUUGGAAAAAAUAACACGAUUGAGAACUCAUCCGUUCAGAGACUUAACAGCAAAAUGUACUUCAUGGAGAAAGAGUAAAGUUAGUCUGCAGCCAUGCGAGUGCGGUUAUUGUUGUGGAUAAUCACUGAUAAUGUAAUAUUGUCUAAGCUUUGAUCAAAUAUUGUAGCUGCUUUAAGGUGAACCCUUUUAGUUUAUUCAUAUGCUGUUGGUUGAAAGAAAUAUUUUGCAUUCCACAAACUUAUCAUUAUCACUUUAAUUUGUGUAGUUUCAUUUAAAACAAGAAUAACAUUAAUUAUACUCCUCCCACCCCCCCCCAAGUGUGCCAGGAUGGUGUGACAGUGAGCAGCGUGCACGACACUGAACCGGCCUAAUGUAUAUAUAUAUAUUUACUUAUACCUCCUGGUUACGAUGGGAUCACACCGGCCAAAUGGGGUAAUAAAAAGUGAGCGGGGGCCCUUCUCCACCGCCUCUCCCCGAUUCCUACGCACUAGGUCAAAGCACACCCAUCCUCGAUCCCCGCCUUCAUUUUUGUAUUUACACACCUGCUUGUCAUUCGUCUCCAUGUGAUAGAGAUUAGUCUGAGCCUCCAUUGUUUCUGCUUGGUCUUAUGCACUGGCAGCCUGCUGUCGUAUGGGUGCACUGUAUUUGUUCACGUUGAACAAAUAGGAACUCUGCGUUUUAAAGCCAACGCUCGCCUUCUCUAAUUAGGGAGAUGAAAAACACGGAGCUGUUUGCUUACUGCGGUUAUGUUUCAGGACGAGGCUGCUCGCAGCAACUUCAGCGCUGCGUAAUGUGUCUCACUGCCUGGUGACGGAUUCCUACCAUUCUAUUAUUUGUUGUGUGCUCACUGUUUCCACCUCUGUUAUCUCAUCCUCAUACACCUCCUGACCACUCGCUGUCCCGCUUGCUGUUAUAUUCCCAACAAAGUGCUAUAUUUACGGUGAUAAAUCAAUGCCACGCGGGUUUGGGAGGACCGGGUCACCUGACACGCUGUGAGAGAGCGAGGCUGGAUGAGUGACGCCAACGUGAACUCAACGGCGCUGUAAUAUUAAAAUAGGAGAUGGCGUGUAAAAAAAAAAAGAAGUUUUUUUCAUGACAACCGUAUCAUUAAAUAAUUGCUAUGACUAAAACUGCAAAAAAAUUAAUUCAUUUGCACUAAAAAUGUGUUAUUUUACAGACUUUGAUGCUACAUGAUACGGGUGAAUCCACAUCUGACAGCACUUACAACACUGGGAGCUGAAAACGAGCUCACAACAGCAGCCUUGUGCUGUGUGAGGGGGGGGGGGUGAAGAUGGAGAUGGAGAGGGGGGUUUAAAGUUAACACCAGCACGCAAUUGAGGCACCAAGUGAUUUAUUUGAUAAUCAGGUUCAA